CUGUCUCUUGUCGCUGGCCGUGCCCAAAUUGUUGUGUCGCUGAUGGUGCUGGUGCUGUGAGAGGCGGGCGCUGAGGCCGGCCGGGGCGGAGCUGGCGGCGGCGGAGAGGAGGCGGCAGGGCCGCAGCAGAGAGCCGGGGCUGAGAGGCCAGCGAUGCUCGGCGGGCAGAGCGGCGGCAUGUGGCGGUGUCGAGCCGCGGGGCUGGCGGCGCUGGCCGCGGUGCUGCUCGCGGCUGUGGCCAAAGCCCAGGUGCAGCAGGAGCCAUUCGUAGAGACUACCGAGGGCACCAGCAUCAAUAUCAACUGCUCACAUACUACCAAACAGCUCGGCGAUUGGAUCCAUUUCUAUCGUCAGCUCCCGGGCCGAGGACCCGAACUCGUCGCACUCACUGCUAGAGGGUCCAAAGAGCUGCCGGACAUUUCAGGAGAGCUGAGGGUGUCGGAGGACGGGCGGAGCAGCGCGCUGUGGCUGCGGCGGCCCCGGCGCGGGGACGCGGCCGUGUAUUACUGCGCGCUGGGCGCACGGGCAGAGGAGCCGGGGCUGCGGCCGGGCACGAACCGCCGCGGGCGGGGCCGGGCGGGGCCGGGGGCGCAGCGCCGGCCGCGGCCAGCACGGGGCGCUGCCGCUCCGCCCGCCGGGCCCGGGCUGGGGGGGAGCUCCCGACACCGGCGCUGA
Non-coding RNA from Prinia subflava (tawny-flanked prinia), 675 nucleotides. Lineage: Eukaryota; Metazoa; Chordata; Aves; Passeriformes; Cisticolidae. The record is from the annotation of a RefSeq genome assembly.